UACGUAGGGGGCGAGCGUUGUCCGGAUUUAUUGGGCGUAAAGAGCUCGUAGGCGGUUCGGCAAGUCAGAUGUAAAAACUCCAGGCUCAACUUGGAGAGGCCAUCUGAUACUGCCGUGACUAGAGUCCGGUAGAGGAGCACGGAAUUCCUGGUGUAGCGGUGAAAUGCGCAGAUAUCAGGAGGAACACCGGUGGCGAAGGCGGGUCUCUGGGCCGAUACUGACGCUGAGGAGCGAAAGCGUGGGGAGCGAACAGG
RNAcentral lists this ribosomal RNA (254 nucleotides) under uncultured bacterium. RNAcentral describes it as "partial 16S ribosomal RNA". It matches the Rfam family "Bacterial small subunit ribosomal RNA", at positions 524 to 776 of the family's 1533-position model. The record is from RNAcentral.